GGAGAGGUGGCUGAGUGGCUGAAGGCGCACGCCUGGAAAGUGUGUUUAGGGUUAAACCUAACGAGGGUUCGAAUCCCUCUCUCUCCGCCA
This 90-nucleotide transfer RNA is filed under the name Alteromonas sp. RNAcentral's name for it is "tRNA-Ser". It matches the Rfam family "tRNA". Rfam says of the family: Transfer RNA (tRNA) molecules are approximately 80 nucleotides in length. Their secondary structure includes four short double-helical elements and three loops (D, anti-codon, and T loops). Further hydrogen bonds mediate the characteristic L-shaped molecular structure. tRNAs have two regions of fundamental functional importance: the anti-codon, which is responsible for specific mRNA codon recognition, and the 3' end, to which the tRNAs corresponding amino acid is attached (by aminoacyl-tRNA synthetases). tRNAs cope with the degeneracy of the genetic code in two manners: having more than one tRNA (with a specific anti-codon) for a particular amino acid; and 'wobble' base-pairing, i.e. permitting non-standard base-pairing at the 3rd anti-codon position. Lineage: Bacteria; Pseudomonadati; Pseudomonadota; Gammaproteobacteria; Alteromonadales; Alteromonadaceae. RNAcentral also lists the same sequence under 102 other names. The record is from RNAcentral.